AGGGUUCGAUUAUGGCUCAGGAUGAACGCUGGCGGCGUGCCUAACACAUGCAAGUCGAACGAAGUUAGACAGAGGAAGUUUUCGGAUGGAAUCGGUAUAACUUAGUGGCGGACGGGUGAGUAACGCGUGGGAAACCUGCCCUGUACCGGGGGAUAACACUUAGAAAUAGGUGCUAAUACCGCAUAAGCGCACGGAACCGCAUGGUUGUGUGUGAAAAACUCCGGUGGUACAGGAUGGUCCCGCGUCUGAUUAGCCAGUUGGCAGGGUAACGGCCUACCAAAGCGACGAUCAGUAGCCGGCCUGAGAGGGUGAACGGCCACAUUGGGACUGAGACACGGCCCAA
Molecule: ribosomal RNA, 343 nt
Filed under: uncultured bacterium
Lineage: Bacteria
Description: bacterial SSU rRNA
Rfam family: Bacterial small subunit ribosomal RNA
Source: RNAcentral